GGAAAGUUUGAUUCUUGCUUUGUUUUUGUUUUAUAAUAAAAAAGUACAUGCAAAUUUUUGUUAGAAUGCCCUAUAGUAGCUUAAUAUUACUAUAAAAGUCAAAAAUUAAAUCGCAGUAUUAAAUAUUAUAGAUUAAGUUAGGGCUUGAUUUAAUUAAUUAUAAGAGGUCUGAUUAAAUUUUGUGCCAGCAGUCGCGGUUAGACUUAAAGGCCCGACAGGAAAAUUUUAGCGGGAGUUAUUGAGCUAGAAUUUAAAAGGAGUUUGGUUUGCAGAAAUAAAAGGUGAAAUUAAAUUAUUUUAUAGAAAAUUAAAAUCUAUUUUUUAUUUAUAAGAAGCUCAUAAGAUAAAGAUAUGAACUAGGAUUAGAUACCCUAUUACACUUUAAUAAAAAAGUUAUUGCUUGAAUAUUAAUAGCUAUGUGCUUUAAAUUCAAAGAAUUUGGCGGUAUUUUAGUCUUGUUAGAGGAACCUGUUUUCUAAAUGAUACUACACGAAAAAUCUUACUUACUUUUGUUUUACAGCUUGUAUACCGUCAUUAUUAGAUAACUUUUACUGAUUAAGUUAUUAAAAUUGAGGGCUUAAAUAUAUUAGAUCAAGGUGCAGCUGAUAUGUAAGUAAAAAUGGGUUACAAUAAAAUUUAUUUAUAACGGAUUAGAAAUUGAAACUAGCCCUAUGAAGGAGGAUUUAAUUGUAAUAAAUGUUUAGUAAGGGUUUAUGAUAUUAGAACUAAAUUAUGUACAUAUCGCCCGUCACUUCCAUUUCAGGUGGAAUAAGUCGUAACAAAGUAGGUUUACUGGAAGGUGAAUCUAGAAAUAU
This 815-nucleotide non-coding RNA is filed under the name Ombrastacoides huonensis. Lineage: Eukaryota; Metazoa; Arthropoda; Malacostraca; Decapoda; Parastacidae. The record is from RNAcentral.